Molecule: ribosomal RNA, 356 nt
Filed under: uncultured bacterium
Lineage: Bacteria
Description: bacterial SSU rRNA
Rfam family: Bacterial small subunit ribosomal RNA
Source: RNAcentral
AGCGAACGCUGGCGGCAGGCUUAACACAUGCAAGUCGAACGGGCGUAGCAAUACGUCAGUGGCAGACGGGUGAGUAACACGUGGGAACGUACCUUUGGUUCGGAACAACACAGGGAAACUUGUGCUAAUACCGGAUAAGCCCUUACGGGGAAAGAUUUAUCGCCGAAAGAUCGGCCCGCGUCUGGUUAGCUAGUUGGUAGGGUAACGGCCUACCAAGGCGACGAUCAGUAGCUGGUCUGAGAGGAUGAUCAGCCACAUUGGGACUGAGACACGGCCCAAACUCCUACGGGAGGCAGCAGUGGGGAAUAUUGGACAAUGGGGGCGAACCCUGNUCCAGCCAUGCCGCGUGAGUGAUG